UACAUUACAAACACAAAAAAAACAUUGUAAACAUUUUUGACUGGCCUACAGCCAGAAAUUAUUACAAAACACAAAUGUAACUUACUAGGAAGACAAUAUAGAUUGAAAAUAAAAAUAAAAUACAAAAACACAAAAAACUACUAAAAAAUAAAAAUAAGUAUAUAGCAUCCUCAACGGGAGAUUAUAAAACCGAAACUUUAGCGUAUCCUGCCUUCAGCUUCCCUGAUUUGACAACCACCUCCACGCACUCGGAACCGUUUCCGGUCUCAUGAAAUUAAUUACACAACUGCCCAUUUUUCUCUUUAGGAUUUCUAUUGCCUCAAUCAUAUUCCUGUCCCAGUUCACUUCUUUUGGUCGGAUAAUCCUCGCAUUUUCUCACUUCACUUCCACAUCGUGGAGAAGCGACCUCUGGCUUAGCGCAGUGGAGAGUCUACCAUACCUGAGGACCGCUUUAUGCUCUUUCGUCCUAUCUUCCAAAUGUAAUGUACAUAAUGUAUUCCUUGUGUGUGAGACACAUAGUGGGGAUGUGUUUUGCUGAUGGGAGGUGUAGAGGGGGGCGCCUCGGGAUGUGCGCUGGCCUUUGAAUCUUG
This 590-nucleotide long non-coding RNA is filed under the name Androctonus crassicauda. The record is from RNAcentral. Lineage: Eukaryota; Metazoa; Arthropoda; Arachnida; Scorpiones; Buthidae.